AAACUUCUCGUUUGGAGACUUGAAAAAUCCAAGUCACUGAGUGGUCGUGAGACUUCCGAGUAUCAAGGUACAGUAGCAUAUGGUAGGAGUUCCCUAAGUCUCCGGUCGAAGGAGUUGACGAAUGAGGCAUUUCCUUUUUAAGUGGUAGCCCAAAACUCCUUCUUCAUAUAUAUUUGUUAUGAAAGUUGUUAGGCCCAAAGAAGA
This 204-nucleotide long non-coding RNA is filed under the name Malus domestica (apple). Its description in RNAcentral is "long non-coding RNA (MDOM_LNC013979)". Lineage: Eukaryota; Viridiplantae; Streptophyta; Magnoliopsida; Rosales; Rosaceae. The record is from RNAcentral.